CCUACGGGAGGCAGCAGUGGGGAAUCUUGCACAAUGGAGGAAACUCUGAUGCAGCGAUGCCGCGUGAGUGAAGAAGACCUUUGGGUUGUAAAGCUCUUUUGUGGGGGAAGAUAAUGACUGUACCCUAAGAAUAAGGUCCGGCUAACUUCGUGCCAGCAGCCGCGGUAAUACGAAGGGACCUAGUGUAGUUCGGAAUUACUGGGCGUAAAGCGCGCGUAGGCCGUUGAGUUAGUUAAUUGUGAAAUCCCAAAGCUUAACUUUGGAACUGCAAUUAAAACUGCUCGACUAGAGUUUGAUAGAGGAAAGCGGAAUACAUAGUGUAGAGGUGAAAUUCGUAGAUAUUAUGUAGAACACCAGUUGCGAAGGCGGCUUUCUGGAUCAACACUGACGCUGAGGCGCGAAAGUAUGGGUAGCAAAGAGGAUUAGAUACCCUCGUAGUCCAUACCAUAAACGAUGAUUGCUAGAUGUUGGAAAUUUAUUUUCAGUAUCGCAGCUAACGCAUUAAGCAAUCCGCCUGGGGAGUACGACCGCAAGGUUAAACUUAAAGGAAUUGACGGNNGAGAGNGCGAGCGACACGAGGAGAG
Molecule: ribosomal RNA, 584 nt
Filed under: uncultured bacterium
Lineage: Bacteria
Description: bacterial SSU rRNA
Rfam family: Bacterial small subunit ribosomal RNA
Source: RNAcentral